This 468-nucleotide ribosomal RNA is filed under the name uncultured bacterium. RNAcentral describes it as "partial 16S ribosomal RNA". It matches the Rfam family "Bacterial small subunit ribosomal RNA", at positions 28 to 507 of the family's 1533-position model. The record is from RNAcentral.
GACGAACGCUGGCGGCGUGCUUAACACGUGCAAGUCGAACGGAAAGGCCCUGCUUUUGUGGGGUGCUCGAGUGGCGAACGGGUGAGUAACACGUGAGUAACCUGCCCUUGACUUUGGGAUAACUUCAGGAAACUGGGGCUAAUACCGGAUAGGAGCUCCUGCUGCAUGGUGGGGGUUGGAAAGUUUCGGCGGUUGGGGAUGGACUCGCGGCUUAUCAGCUUGUUGGUGGGGUAGUGGCUUACCAAGGCUUUGACGGGUAGCCGGCCUGAGAGGGUGACCGGCCACAUUGGGACUGAGAUACGGCCCAGACUCCUACGGGAGGCAGCAGUGGGGAAUAUUGCACAAUGGGCGGAAGCCUGAUGCAGCAACGCCGCGUGCGGGGUGACGGCCUUCGGGUUGUAAACCGCUUUCGCCUGUGACGAAGCGUGAGUGACGGUAAUGGGUAAAGAAGCACCGGCUAACUACGUG